This 254-nucleotide ribosomal RNA is filed under the name uncultured bacterium. RNAcentral describes it as "partial 16S ribosomal RNA". It matches the Rfam family "Bacterial small subunit ribosomal RNA", at positions 524 to 776 of the family's 1533-position model. The record is from RNAcentral.
UACGUAGGGGGCAAGCGUUGUCCGGAUUUAUUGGGCGUAAAGAGCUCGUAGGUGGUUCGGUAAGUCGGAUGUGAAAUCUCCAGGCUCAACCUGGAGGGGUCAUUCGAUACUGCCGUGACUAGAGUUCGGUAGGGGAGUGUGGAAUCCCUGGUGGAGCGGUGAAAUGCGCAGAUAUCAGGAGGAACACCCGUAGCGAAGGCGGCACUCUGGGCCGAUACUGACACUGAGGAGCGAAAGCGUGGGGAGCGAACAGG